AAAAGGUGGAAGCUUCAGGGUGUAGCAGGGCUGCAGCAGGAAGUCCUCCUUUACCUGCCUUUUGCUGCAGUGAGGAUCUCACCAACAAUCCCAGGUGGGGAUUAUACAUCUACGCUGAAUAUACUGAACGGGCUAUCUGCUCAGAAAACUAGUGGCAUUCAUUCACUGAAAGCAAUCCGCUAACAUUCUCAGACAAUGAACUGCUAGCGGGACCGGCAUAUAGCUUUUGGUUCUCUGUAGAAGCCGAAUGUACAUCAGUUGCCAUACAAGACCCUUGGUCCUGGUGGAGAUCCAGGCUGGUCAAUCACUCCUUCUACUAAAACAAACACAAGGAACUUGUUAAACAGCCAUCAUAGCACAGUAUGGAGAGCUGCAAUCUCCAAUACCCACAUAGAAAAAGACCCUGAUGUGAGAGGGCUCAUGGCAGCAGGCUGCAGUACCAGAGGUGGAUUUAGAAUGGUUUUAUGUGGCUGUCCAAAGGCACGGACAGAUCACUAUCUAUAGUCUUCAGAUUUCCAGCAUAGUCCCAGCAUGAACCAAGCACCACAAUUCUCCAGUCAGUGAAAUGAAGAUAUGCAAAAUAUCAGCCCACCUGCC
This is a long non-coding RNA of Pelobates fuscus (common spadefoot toad), 597 nucleotides long. RefSeq lists it as uncharacterized. The transcript is spliced from 6 exons. The record is from RefSeq and is a predicted model, not a curated record. NCBI's taxonomy places the organism in Eukaryota, Metazoa, Chordata, Amphibia, Anura, Pelobatidae.